UAGUAGAGCCCUAUCUAAGGUAACCGAAGGA
RNAcentral lists this non-coding RNA (31 nucleotides) under Rattus norvegicus (Norway rat). The record is from RNAcentral. Lineage: Eukaryota; Metazoa; Chordata; Mammalia; Rodentia; Muridae.